Molecule: long non-coding RNA, 1829 nt
Organism: Capra hircus (goat)
Lineage: Eukaryota; Metazoa; Chordata; Mammalia; Artiodactyla; Bovidae
Exons: 3
Source: RefSeq, a predicted model, not a curated record
UGGCAGGCAGGUUCUUUACCAUUAACGCCACCAAAAGAGCUUACGGAACAAAUUAAGAGAUUUUACUUUUGCGCUCUAAGAGGGAAAAGAGGAAGGAGAAAGAAAUGUUAAUUGGUAGUUGUACUUUAAAAUGUCAAUCAUAAACAUCCAUAUCAUAGGCUGAAGUAUCCCACAUGCCUGUUUAAUUCUAAUGGAAAUAACAUGAGCUAAUUUUGCCGAAAGAGCUCUUUAAUUAUCUCUAUUGGAAAAACUUCAGCAAAAGGCAAAGUUCAAAUACUCAGCUAAUUUAUAGUGGUUGAGAAAAGCUUAAUGCCUAAAAACAGUGAAAUAAAUUUAGAUUUAUUGUGGGUAAUAAUGGAUAAUCACAACCAUUCCAAUAUAUUCCAUGAUGGCAUAACAUUACAUAAGCCGCAUUAUAUUUAUUAUGAACAUCUGGCGUACUGUACGCUAUUCAGAUAACUUUAAUUAAACCAGCCUCCAAGCUCCCAUAUAAAGUGAUGGCGGCUCCAAAGAGAACAGCCAGCAUGUUGGUGAACGACUCAGCCUGAGAGGCUGUCAGCUUCAAGUUAGUGCCUGUUCUGAAACGGAGCAGGGUCCUAUGGUCUACAUCCCCAUGUCCUCUGCCUGCUUUUGUCUGAGGAGAAAAAACUCUAGCUGAAGAAGAGAAAGGUGAGAAAAUGAAGAAGCAAAGGAAAGCAGUCAGACAGGACAAAACCAUUACAGUUUAGUCAGUAAGGAAAGUCAAGGCCCUUUAUUUCCUCCUCACAGGCUAUGGAUAAUAUUCUAAGCCGUGUCCUGUGAGCUGUCUUACAGAGGCUGAAACCCCCACCAGGUGGGAGAAGUUAGCUGCACAUGACCAGACCACGGCUGUGACAAAGCUGCCACCAUUCUGAGAACCAGCCUCAAGAAAUGGGAAGAAACCUGACCUGGAACUGAAGACCAACUGUACCUGAGACAAUCAAGACGACACUCGUCAGACCACCGGUGACCACUCUCAGAACUACCACGCCCCACAGAGGGAAGACUAGCAUCCUUCAUUCCAGACAAAAGGAACUACAGAAACUUAUCAGACCACCUGAGAGCAAAGAGGCUGAUCUUCCCAUUCAAUGAUUAGCGUGGCAAGGCAGCCGUCUCCAGGGGAUUAUUGCAGCGCAGUUUCAGAAGCGUGUGCUACAGUGGCCAGUGGCAAAUCAUCGGAACCUCUGCUACUGAAACAGUUAUAGUCCUUUGAAAAUAGUUUAUCACAAGAAGUCUAUCUUACAGAAAAAUUCCAAAUACUGUAUGUUGGCACACUGGCUCUGGAGGUUGUUGCUGGAUCUUCCUCACCUUGAGUGUGAUCUGGACAGACUGAACUCCUUGCCAACAACAGAGUCUGGGAAAGGAAGCUGAGCAACUUAUAGUGGACAUACCUGGCAAUGUCACCUGAACUGCAUGAUCAAGGUCAACUUCACCAGCAAUGCCAUAGGGCUUCUAUAAACCCCGUGGUGAGAAGCAGUUGAAAAGUACCUCAACUUUGUGAUCUAUUUCUGCAAAACCCAUAACUCCAGUCUAAUGGUGGGAAGACAUCAGAGAGACACCAAACACUUCAGCAUUCUUCAAAACUCUCUACUUCCCAAGAACAAGGAGAAACCAAGAAAUGUACUCAUUGAAUGAGACAAGAGGACCAAGGCAAUGUAUGAUCCUGGACUGGGUCGUGGAACAGAAAAUGAACAGUAGUAAAAAGACUGGGAAAAUUCAGAUACGAUCUGCAGUUAACAGUUUUGUGUGAAUAUUAUUUGUUUUCUUCUUGAUGUGCUCAGUUGUGUCAGACUCUUUAUGACCCCAUGAAC